RNAcentral lists this ribosomal RNA (253 nucleotides) under Bacteroides caecigallinarum. RNAcentral's name for it is "partial 16S ribosomal RNA". It matches the Rfam family "Bacterial small subunit ribosomal RNA", at positions 524 to 776 of the family's 1533-position model. The record is from RNAcentral. Lineage: Bacteria; Pseudomonadati; Bacteroidota; Bacteroidia; Bacteroidales; Bacteroidaceae.
UACGGAGGAUGCGAGCGUUAUCCGGAUUUAUUGGGUUUAAAGGGAGCGUAGACGGGAUGUUAAGUCAGCUGUGAAAGUUUGGGGCUCAACCUUAAAAUUGCAGUUGAAACUGGCGUUCUUGAGUGCGGUAGAGGCAGGCGGAAUUUGUGGUGUAGCGGUGAAAUGCUUAGAUAUCACGAAGAACUCCAAUUGCGAAGGCAGCUUGCUGGAGCGUAACUGACGUUGAUGCUCGAAAGUGUGGGUAUCAAACAGG